UUAGUGCAGGUGGCAUGGCAUACACAGUCCCUAGAGGACAGCAAUAACCGAAAGGUCUUGCAGCAAGGUUCGAUUCCUUGGCACUAAAC
RNAcentral lists this transfer RNA (89 nucleotides) under compost metagenome. Its description in RNAcentral is "tRNA-Leu". The record is from RNAcentral.